UACGUAGGGUGCAGGCGUUAAUCGGAAUUACUGGGCGUAAAGCGUGCGCAGGCGGUCUUUUAAGUCAGAUGUGAAAUCCCCGGGCUUAACCUGGGAACUGCGUUUGAAACUGAAAGGCUAGAGUGUGGCAGAGGGGGGUGGAAUUCCACGUGUAGCAGUGAAAUGCGUAGAGAUGUGGAGGAACACCGAUGGCGAAGGCAGCCCCCUGGGUCAAGAUUGACGCUCAUGCACGAAAGCGUGGGGAGCAAACAGG
This 253-nucleotide ribosomal RNA is filed under the name uncultured bacterium. Its description in RNAcentral is "partial 16S ribosomal RNA". It matches the Rfam family "Bacterial small subunit ribosomal RNA", at positions 524 to 776 of the family's 1533-position model. The record is from RNAcentral.